This is a long non-coding RNA of Folsomia candida, 984 nucleotides long. RefSeq lists it as uncharacterized. The transcript has 2 exons. Lineage: Eukaryota; Metazoa; Arthropoda; Collembola; Entomobryomorpha; Isotomidae. The record is from RefSeq and is a predicted model, not a curated record.
GAGAGACGAGAGCUUUACUAAAUAAAAAGCAGCAGCAAGUUUUGAAAGGGUUAUAGCAGAUUUGAUACUACUGCUGCUCAAAAUAUUCGAUCGUCGUUCUUCUCUCCUCGCGUUAUUUGUCUGCCCAGCUCCUCGUACUCUGUCCCGAGCAAGAGCGAAAAGAAACGCUACGCGAGGAAGAUAAUGCUGCUUCAAAACCUAUCAAUAAAGUUGAAAGAGCGAACGAACCAAUAGGCCUGCAGAGCUUAUGGCGUAAUGAGAAUAAAAAUAUGUCGGCGCAAUAAAAAUCGAAACCUCUUUUUCUUUACUCAGCCAGCCAACCCAUAUUUGAAAUCUGUAUCCGCUGUGCUAAUUAGAUAUGCUCAUGAACAUGUUGUUGAUGCUUCGAAUGUGGAAAAUAUAAAUGGUGAAAUGAAAUGAAAUGAAAUUAGUCAGUGAGUGUGUGUGUACUACACUUUCAAGGAGAACUAACUAACUAAAUAACUAUGCCAUAAUAUAAUAGGAGUAGGAGUUACAUGUUUUAAGAGUUAUUAGACCUGAUAUGAAAUUAAUUUUGCAGAGGGAACAAACAAUAAAGCCAUAUUUUCUCAUAUUGGAAUCUUGUAGUAAUUAUUUAUUACAAAUAAUAUUGAGACAAGUAAGUCAGAAAACAUGUGUAGAUCGAUAGGAGCGAAAAGAAGGAUUGAUUAUUUAUUAUCUAUGUAUGACGUAGCGUAUUUAGUAUGCAAUGUAACAUGGUAUUAUUAUUAUUUGAAUUAGUUGAAAAGAAAUAUGUACGCUACAAAUUAUACAAUGCCAAUACUUAAUGUGCCGCAAUUUAAAUAUUUUCUGCAGAUUGUACAUAUUCUGCGCAAUAAAAAGGCGUAAAAGGCAUUAUUUAUCCAUGGGACAAGAAGUACAUAUAAAGUAUUGGUCAGUUGGUUGGCUAGUUGUUGUUUUUGUGUUUGUAAUAAAUAAAUUUGCGAAUAUAUGUAUGCUGCAAAC